RNAcentral lists this ribosomal RNA (468 nucleotides) under uncultured bacterium. Its description in RNAcentral is "partial 16S ribosomal RNA". It matches the Rfam family "Bacterial small subunit ribosomal RNA", at positions 28 to 507 of the family's 1533-position model. The record is from RNAcentral.
GACGAACGCUGGCGGCGUGCUUAACACAUGCCAGUCGAACGGAAAGGCCCUGCUUUUGUGGGGUGCUCGAGUGGCGAACGGGUAAGUAACACGUGAGUAACCUGCCCUUGACUUUGGGAUAACUUCAGGAAACUGGGGCUAAUACCGGAUAGGAGCUCCUGCUGCAUGGUGGGGGUUGGAAAGUUUCGGCGGUUGGGGAUGGACUCGCGGCUUAUCAGCUUGUUGGUGGGGUAGUGGCUUACCAAGGCUUUGACGGGUAGCCGGCCUGAGAGGGUGACCGGCCACAUUGGGACUGAGAUACGGCCCAGACUCCUACGGGAGGCAGCAGUGGGGAAUAUUGCACAAUGGGCGGAAGCCUGAUGCAGCAACGCCGCGUGCGGGAUGACGGCCUUCGGGUUGUAAACCGCUUUCGCCUGUGACGAAGCGUGAGUGACGGUAAUGGGUAAAGAAGCACCGGCUAACUACGUG